Molecule: ribosomal RNA, 1459 nt
Filed under: microbial mat metagenome
Description: bacterial SSU rRNA
Rfam family: Bacterial small subunit ribosomal RNA
Source: RNAcentral
AAUAUUUUAAGUUAUAAUACUUAACACAUGCAAGUCUUACAAAUUAUUAUUUUAUAAUUUUUUGUGGCAAACGGGUGAGGAAAAUGCAGAAUGCUACCUUUUAGUCUAUUAAAAUAAUAGAUAUUUAAAAAAGGUUAUAUUUUAAAAAAAUAUUUCCGCUAAAAGAUGGGUCUGUAUAAGAUUAGGUAGUUGGUAAAUUUAACAGCUUACCAAGCCAUUGAUCUUUAGUUGGUCUUAGAGGAUGAUCAACCACACUGGAACUGAAAUAAGGUCCAGGCUGAUUUUUUCGGCCAGCAGUGAGGAAUAUUGGACAAUGAACGAAAGUUUGAUCCAGCAAUGCUAUAUGAAUGAAGACGGUCUUUUUUGAUUGUAAAGUUCUUUCGUUAAGAAUGAUAAUGACAUUACUUAAGGAAGUAGUCCUGGCUAAUACUCGUGCCAGCAGCCGCGGUAAUACGGGAAGGGCAAGCGUUAUUCGACAUUACAGGGCGUAAAGAGUCCGUAUACAGCAAAGUAAGUUAUUUGUUAAAACUUAAAGCCCAACUUUAAGAUAGCUUGUAAUACUGCUUUACUUGAGUUUUAUACAGAAAAGUAGAAUUUUAUACGAAAGGGUAAAAUCUGGAAAUAUAUAAAGGAAUACCAAUAGCGAAGGCGACUUUUUAGUAAAAACUGACGUUGAGGGACGAAAGUAUGGGGAGCAAACAGGAUUAGAUACCCUGGUAGUCCAUACUGUAAAUUAUGAGUGUUGAAAUUUAAUGUAAAUUUAAAUAAUUUAUUUAGAUUUUUAAGCUAACGCUAUAAACACUCCGCCUGAGGAGUACGAUCGCAAGGUUGGAACUCAAAGAAACUGACGGGGGCUAAUACUAGUGGUGGAGCAUGUGGUUUAAUGCGAUAAUCCGCGCAGAAUCUUACCAAUUCUUGACAUAAUAUUCAUUUUAAAUUUGCAAAUAGGUUAUUUUAAAAUUUAGAAUAUUACAGGUGUUGCACGACUGUCGUCAGUUCGUGUCGUGAGAUGUUUGGUUUAUUCCCUUAACGGACGCAACUCUUAGCUUUAAUUUUUUACUUUUAUAUCAAUUAAUUACAGAUAUAUUAAGCUUUAAAGUUACUGACAAUUAUAAGUUGAAGGAAGGUAAGAACGAAGUCAAGUCAAUGUGACCCUUAUGAAUUGGGCUACACACGUGCUACAAUGAAAAUUACAAAAAGUAACAAAAAAUAUUUUUUGUUAAUCUACGAAAAAUUUCCCCAGUUCGGAUUGUAAGCUGUAACUCGCUUACAUGAAGUUGGAAUCACUAGUAAUCGUAAAUCAGAACGUUACGGUGAAUAUGUCAAUUAGUCUUGUACAAACCGCCCGUCACAUGCAGAAAGUUGGUUUUGUUUGAAGAUUUUAUUUUAUAAAGUCGAUUUCAAAAUUAAUAAUUUGGAUGAAGUCGUAACAAGGUAGCUGUACGGGAACGUGUAGCUG